GACGAACGCUGGCGGCGUGCUUAACACAUGCAAGUCGAACGGAAAGGCCCUGCUUUUGUGGGGUGCUCGAGUGGCGAACGGGUGAGUAACACGUGAGUAACCUGCCCUUGACUUUGGGAUAACUUCAGGAAACUGGGGCUAAUACCGGAUAGGAGCUCCUGCUGCAUGGUGGGGGUUGGAAAGUUUCGGCGGUUGGGGUUGGACUCGCGGCUUAUCAGCUUGUUGGUGGGGUAGUGGCUUACCAAGGCUUUGACGGGUAGCCGGCCGGUGAGGGUGACCGGCCACAUUGGGACGGAGAUACGGCCCGGACACAUACGGGAGGCAGGAGUGGGAAUAUUGCACAAUGGGCGGAAGCCUGGUGCGGCAACGCCGCGUGCGGGAUGACGGGCUUCGGGUUGUAAACCGCUUUCGCCUGUGACGAAGCGUGAGUGACGGUAAUGGGUAAAGAAGCACCGGCUAACUACGUG
RNAcentral lists this ribosomal RNA (467 nucleotides) under uncultured bacterium. RNAcentral's name for it is "partial 16S ribosomal RNA". It matches the Rfam family "Bacterial small subunit ribosomal RNA", at positions 28 to 507 of the family's 1533-position model. The record is from RNAcentral.